This 466-nucleotide ribosomal RNA is filed under the name uncultured bacterium. RNAcentral describes it as "partial 16S ribosomal RNA". It matches the Rfam family "Bacterial small subunit ribosomal RNA", at positions 28 to 507 of the family's 1533-position model. The record is from RNAcentral.
GACGAACGCUGGCGGCGUGCUUAACACAUGCAAGUCGAACGGAAAGGCCCUGCUUGCAGGGUACUCGAGUGGCGAACGGGUGAGUAACACGUGGGUGAUCUGCCCUGCACUUCGGGAUAAGCUUGGGAAACUGGGUCUAAUACCGGAUAGGAACCAUCUUUAGCGGGGUGGUUGGAAAGUUUUUUCGGUGUAGGAUGAGCUCGCGGGCUAUCAGCUUGUUGGUGGGGUAAUGGCCUACCAAGGCGGCGACGGGUAGCCGGCCUGAGAGGGUGUACGGCCACAUUGGGACUGAGAUACGGGCCAGACUCCUACGGGAGGCAGCAGUGGGGAAUAUUGCACAAUGGGCGCAAGCCUGAUGCAGCGACGCCGCGUGGGGGAUGAAGGCCUUCGGGUUGUAAACUCCUUUCGCUAGGGACGAAGCUUUGUUGUGACGGUACCUAGAUAAGAAGCACCGGCUAACUACGUG